Molecule: unclassified non-coding RNA, 331 nt
Filed under: soil metagenome
Description: partial contains 5.8S ribosomal RNA, internal transcribed spacer 2, and large subunit ribosomal RNA
Rfam family: 5.8S ribosomal RNA (bases 1-120)
Source: RNAcentral
GAUGAAGAACGUAGCGAAAUGCGAUAAGUAAUGUGAAUUGCAGAAUUCAGUGAAUCAUCGAAUCUUUGAACGCACAUUGCGCCCCCUGGUAUUCCGGGGGGCAUGCCUGUUCGAGCGUCAUUUCACCACUCAAGCCUCGCUUGGUAUUGGGCAACGCGGUCCGCCGCGUGCCUCAAAUCGACCGGCUGGGUCUUCUGUCCCCUAAGCGUUGUGGAAACUAUUCGCUAAAGGGUGUUCGGGAGGCUACGCCGUAAAACAACCCCAUUUCUAAGGUUGACCUCGGAUCAGGUAGGGAUACCCGCUGAACUUAAGCAUCUCAAUAAGCGGAGGA